RNAcentral lists this ribosomal RNA (272 nucleotides) under Patescibacteria group bacterium. RNAcentral's name for it is "partial 16S ribosomal RNA". It matches the Rfam family "Bacterial small subunit ribosomal RNA", at positions 1250 to 1533 of the family's 1533-position model. The record is from RNAcentral.
CCAAGCCGAAAGGCGGAGCUAAUCCCAACAAACCUCGUCUCAGUCCGGAUUGAGGGCUGCAACUCGCCCUCAUGAAGCCGGAAUCGCUAGUAAUCGCCAAUCAGAUAUGUGGCGAUGAAUACGUUCCUGAGUCUUGUACUCACCGCCCGUCACGUCAAGCGAGCUGGGAGUACCCGAAGCGCCAAGCAAUUGGAACUAAGGUAAGCUCAGUAAGAGGGACGAAGUCGUAACAAGGCACGCGUAGCGGAAGCUGUGCGUGGAUCAUAUCAUUU